RNAcentral lists this ribosomal RNA (671 nucleotides) under Clostridioides difficile. Its description in RNAcentral is "bacterial LSU rRNA". It matches the Rfam family "Bacterial large subunit ribosomal RNA", at positions 1793 to 2462 of the family's 2925-position model. Lineage: Bacteria; Bacillati; Bacillota; Clostridia; Peptostreptococcales; Peptostreptococcaceae. The record is from RNAcentral.
CAAGCGACUGUUUACCAAAAACAUAGGUUUCUGCUAAGUCGCAAGACGAUGUAUAGGAGCUGACGCCUGCCCGGUGCUGGAAGGUUAAGGGGAUCUGUUAGAGCAAUCGAAGCAGUGAACUUAACCCCCAGUCAACGGCGGCCGGAACUAUAACGGUCCUAAGGUAGCGAAAUUCCUUGUCGGGUAAGUUCCGACCCGAACGAAAGGCGUAACGAUUUGGGCACUGGCUCAACAACAGACUCGGUGAAAUUGUAAGUCCGGGGAAGAUGCCGGAUACCUGCGACAGGACGGAAAGACCCCAUGGAGCUUUACUGUAGCUUGACAUUGGGUCUUGGUACUACAUGUACAGGAUAGGUGGGAGGCUUUGAAACCAGGACGCCAGUUUUGGCGGAGCCAUCCUUGGGAUACCACCCUUGUAGUACUGGGACUCUAACCAUAGGCCAUGAAUCUGGUCUUGGGACACUGUCAGGUGGGCAGUUUGACUGGGGCGGUCGCCUCCCAAAAGGUAACGGAGGCGCUCAAAGGUUCUCUCAGUACGGUCGGAAAUCGUACGUAGAGUGUAAAGGCAAAAGAGAGCUUGAUUGCAAGACAUACAGGUCGAGCAAGGAUGAAAAUCGGACUUAGUGAUCCGGUGGUUCUGCGUGGAAGGGCCAUCGCUCAACGGAUAAAAG